This 236-nucleotide ribosomal RNA is filed under the name uncultured bacterium. Its description in RNAcentral is "partial 16S ribosomal RNA". It matches the Rfam family "Bacterial small subunit ribosomal RNA", at positions 118 to 347 of the family's 1533-position model. The record is from RNAcentral.
UGAGGAACAUGACUUCCGGUGGGGGAUAGCCGGCCCAACGGCCGGGUAAUACCGCGUACGACCUCUUGGGGACAUCCCCGAGUGGUGAAAGCAGCAAUGCGCCGAAAGAGUGCCUCGCGGCCUAUCAGCUAGUUGGUGAGGUAACGGCUCACCAAGGCGACGACGGGUAGCUGGUCUGAGAGGAUGGCCAGCCACAUUGGGACUGAGACACGGCCCAGACUCCGUAGGGAGNAGCG